UUUAAAAAAAGAUAAAAAAAAAAGUAAAAACAAACCAAGUAAAAACACAGCAUCAGUGCAAUUUUGGUUGCGAAUUGCUUUAUUUUAAAAAUAUAUAUUUCCUCACUUUGUUUUUGUUAUUGUUGGUUUUGCAUGCAAUCAAAUACUGAAUUGGAUUUGGAGUGCGUGUGUGUGUGUGUGUGUGUGUGUGAGUGUGUGAGGAGUGCGCGUGUUUUUGUAACUUUGGUACAAGCGCGCGAAUUUUAAAGCGUUCAAUGUCUGUGUCCGUCUCUAUUUGAACCUCGGCGACAAACGCAAAAUUUGGUUUCAAAUAAGCGCGCACAAAACAAGCACACGAGGAACGAUUCGAAUCGGCUUGUUGAUUGAAAUGCAACACGCGCAACGCAAAAACAAUUCCAACAACAACAAAAUCGAACUGUAAUUUAACUAGCAAUUAUCAAAAUUUAUAAGAAGCCAUAAGUACAACAGAAUUAAUAAUCCAAAAAUCAUUACCAAUCGUUUAACUAGUGCAACCAAUACAACUAAAUCAAAAACUAAAAUUCUAAACGGAAUAUUGUUAAAUUCGUCGGAAUACAAUUUUCAAACCAACAACAGUCAGC
Drosophila arizonae is the source of this 599-nucleotide long non-coding RNA. NCBI's taxonomy places the organism in Eukaryota, Metazoa, Arthropoda, Insecta, Diptera, Drosophilidae. The record is from RefSeq and is a predicted model, not a curated record.